UGAUUCCUUUAAUUGUGCUUAUGUUUUGCCUUUAUGUCCUGGAGCCAAUUAUUAUAACAAAAGAAUAAAUGCUUUUUUUUCAAGCUUUAUUGCACUAUCAUUGAUAUGUAACGGUGUAUAAGUUUCAGGUGCACAGCGUGAUGAUUUGAUAUAUUUAUAUAUUGCAAAAUAUGCAAGUCUCCUCAGUAGAGGACAUGGAAGAUUAUCACAGUGGGGCUGGCUGACCCCUCCACCACCUUACAAAUGACCAUUUCUUCUCUGUGGUGAGAACACUUAAGAUCUACUCUCUUAGCAGCUUUCAAGUGUGUCAUACAGUAUGGUUAAUGACAGUCGCCCUGCUGUACGUCGGAUCCCCAGAUCUUAUUCCUCUUGUAGCUGGAAGUCUGGGCUCGGUGACCAACAUCUCUCAAUUUUCCCCAACACUCAGCCCCUGGCAACCACCCUUCUAAUCUCUGUUUCUGUGAAUUCAGGAGGAAUCCUCUCUGACUGAGACGGGGGUCAGCCCUUUUUUGUUCUAUUCAGGCCUUCGACUGAUUAGAUGAGGCCCACCCACAUUCGGGAGGACAAUCUGCUCUACUCUGUCUACUGAUUCCCAUGUGAAGCUCAUCCAGAAACAGGCUCACAGACACAUCCAGCAUAAUGCUCACCAAACAUCUGGGCCCCCCAUGGCCCAGUCAAGUGGACACAUAAAAUUAACUCUCACUGGGAGAGAUGAAGAAGGGAAUUUAAACUGAUACAGAAUGUGGUCAUGCGCAAGCUGCUUCUUUGUACACCUGGGGCUCAAUCCGUCUGGUGGGCUCUGGUUGAUGGUCAUCUCAAAGGGUCCCACCCCAGUGGUGAGGAAACUGAGGUAUUCGUCUUCUGUCUCCCAUCUGACGUUGCCUGAAGGAUGCUCCUGGGGACUUUUAUUCCUAGCACUUCUUGCUUCCGCCAAGAACAAGCCCUCAGGUGCGGAGUCUUGGGUGCUGGCCCCGGGAUGUCUUCUGCUUGCAUGGGGAUGUCGAGAGCCUGACGGACACAGGUGGGUCAUUGCCCGUGUCUGCUAUGAUGGGCAAAUGGAAGGCUGUGAACAUGGAGCCGGCAGCAUCCACACGUCCUCCUCUGUGGAGAGAGAUGGAGAGCCUGGGAGGCUGGAAGGAGAGGUCCUGUCUUACCCAUUUUAUUGGGGGGGAAUUGAAAGUUUGGCGAGGUGGGGUGACUUGUCCCGAGGUGACACAACAGUUAGGCACCCAAACCAGAAUUGGAGUGGAGCACAUCUGACGCACAGUUUGCACUUCCGGAACAAGAUUUUGGAUCGGGGUAAAGCUGUCUUCGGAAAAACAACUGUUUUCCAGGCAUUUAUAGCCCACUUUAGCAGCACUCAACUGCCUGCCUCUGUUUGGGAUGCUAAUUUCGGAGACGCCUUCUCUCUUAAAUAAUCCAAGGGACCACCUCUCCCCCUGCUUCUUCUCGCCGAUGUCCAGCGGGAAGGCGCCAGGGGAGCCACCUAUGGUUUCUCUCUUGGGUGUCGGAGCCCACCGUGGGCAGAUGGAGAGAGGGAAGAUCUGAGCCGGAGAGAGAAAUUUUUAAUUUCCUCCCGUUCUCU
Equus caballus (horse) is the source of this 1585-nucleotide long non-coding RNA. NCBI's taxonomy places the organism in Eukaryota, Metazoa, Chordata, Mammalia, Perissodactyla, Equidae. The record is from Ensembl.